RNAcentral lists this ribosomal RNA (468 nucleotides) under uncultured bacterium. Its description in RNAcentral is "partial 16S ribosomal RNA". It matches the Rfam family "Bacterial small subunit ribosomal RNA", at positions 28 to 507 of the family's 1533-position model. The record is from RNAcentral.
GACGAACGCUGGCGGCGUGCUUAACACAUGCGAGUCGAACGGAAAGGCCCUGCUUUUGUGGGGUGCUCGAGUGGCGAACGGGUGAGUAACACGUGAGUAACCUGCCCUUGACUUUGGGAUAACUUCAGGAAACUGGGGCUAAUACCGGAUAGGAGCUCCUGCUGCAUGAUGGGGGUUGGAAAGUUUCGGCGGUUGGGGAUGGACUCGCGGCUUAUCAGCUUGUUGGUGGGGUAGUGGCUUACCAAGGCUUUGACGGGUAGCCGGCCUGAGAGGGUGACCGGCCACAUUGGGACUGAGAUACGGCCCAGACUCCUACGGGAGGCAGCAGUGGGGAAUAUUGCACAAUGGGCGGAAGCCUGAUGCAGCAACGCCGCGUGCGGGAUGACGGCCUUCGGGUUGUAAACCGCUUUCGCCUGUGACGAAGCGUGAGUGACGGUAAUGGGUAAAGAAGCACCGGCUAACUACGUG